RNAcentral lists this ribosomal RNA (253 nucleotides) under uncultured bacterium. Its description in RNAcentral is "partial 16S ribosomal RNA". It matches the Rfam family "Bacterial small subunit ribosomal RNA", at positions 524 to 776 of the family's 1533-position model. The record is from RNAcentral.
UACGAAGGGGGCUAGCGUUGCUCGGAAUCACUGGGCGUAAAGGGUGCGUAGGCGGGGCUUUAAGUCAGGGGUGAAAGCCCGGAGCUCAACUCCGGAACUGCCAUUGAAACUGUUUAGCUUGAGGACGAGAGAGGUGAGUGGAAUUCCCAGUGUAGAGGUGAAAUUCGUAGAUAUUGGGAAGAACACCGGUGGCGAAGGCGGCUCACUGGCUCGUAUCUGACGCUCAGGCGCGACAGCGUGGGGAUCAAACAGG